CAUAAUUUCAUGAUGGAGAGUUUGAUCCUGGCUCAGGACGAACGCUGGCGGCGUGGAUUAGGCAUGCAAGUCGAACGGUAGAGUUCCUUCGGGGACUUGAGAGUGGCGAACGGGUGAGUAACGCGUAGGUUAUCUACCCUCAAAUUGGGGACAACCCAGGGAAACUUGGGCUAAUACCGAAUGAGAGCAUCUGU
This 194-nucleotide ribosomal RNA is filed under the name Candidatus Cloacimonetes bacterium HGW-Cloacimonetes-2. RNAcentral's name for it is "partial 16S ribosomal RNA". It matches the Rfam family "Bacterial small subunit ribosomal RNA", at positions 1 to 186 of the family's 1533-position model. Lineage: Bacteria; Pseudomonadati; Candidatus Cloacimonadota. The record is from RNAcentral.